RNAcentral lists this ribosomal RNA (903 nucleotides) under uncultured bacterium. Its description in RNAcentral is "bacterial SSU rRNA". It matches the Rfam family "Bacterial small subunit ribosomal RNA", at positions 626 to 1532 of the family's 1533-position model. The record is from RNAcentral.
AAGGAAACUUUCUAUACUUGAAGUAAGUAGAGGUACAGGGAAUUCCCGGUGGAGCGGUGAAAUGCGUAGAUAUCGGGAGGAACACCAAUAUGGCGAAGGCACUGUACUGGGCUUUACCUGACGCUCAGAGACGAAAGCUAAAGGAGUGAUUAGGAUUAGAUACCCUAGUAAUUUUAGCCGUAAACGAUGAAAACUCACUGCCGAGCGAAAUACAACGAGCGGUGGUCAAGCUAACGCGUGAAGUUUUCCGCCUGGGGAUUACGCUUGCAAAAGUGAAACUCAAAGGAGUUGACGGGGACCCGCACAAGCGGUGGAGUAUGUGGUUUAAUUCGAUGCAACACGAAGAACCUUACCAGGGUUUGAAAUCAUUUCAAAACUCCUUGAAAGAGGAGCCUCCUUCGGGAUGAAAUGACAGGUGGUGCAUGGCUGUCGUCAGCUCGUGUUGUGAAAUGUCGAGUUAAGUCUCGUAACGAGCGCAACCCAUGUCUCUUGUUGCUCAUUGAGUGCUUAAGAGAGACUGCCGACCAACAUCGGAGGAAGGUGUGGAUGAUGUCAAGUCAGCAUGCCCCUUACAUCCUGGGCUACACACGUACUACAAUGGUAGGGACAAUGAGCUGCGAUCCUGCGAAGGCUAGCCAAUCUCAAAAACCCUAUCUCAGUUCGGAUUGUACUCUGCAACUCGAGUACAUGAAGGUGGAAUCGCUAGUAAUCGCUGGUCAGCUAUACAGCGGUGAAUACGUUCCCGGGUCUUGUACACACCGCCCGUCACACCAUGGGAGUUGGUUCUACCCGACGACGCUGCGCUAACCCUUCGGGGAGGCAGGCGGCCACGGUAGGAUCAGCGACUGGGGUGAAGUCGUAACAAGGUAGCCCUAGGGGAACCUGCGGCUGGAUCACCUCCUU